This 1531-nucleotide ribosomal RNA is filed under the name uncultured fungus. Its description in RNAcentral is "eukaryotic LSU rRNA". The stretch from base 898 to 1531 matches the Rfam family "Eukaryotic large subunit ribosomal RNA", at positions 1 to 649 of the family's 3401-position model. Lineage: Eukaryota; Fungi. The record is from RNAcentral.
AAGUCGUAACAAGGUUUAUUUGGGCGAGAGGUGAUCUUUCCGACGCACCGAGCCGAAGCCUUUAGCGGGUCCUUUCGAGGAUUGGCCCAAUCGCGACUCUAAAAAAUGGACGGGUCCCCCGGUCCCCCCCGAAACCAUCGGGACGACCGGGCGCCAGUUAGCAAUCUGCUAGCGACAUCGUCGAACUGUGGCGAUCCUCCCACGGGAGCAAUCCGUAGCUCAUGCCCCCCCGGGGGCGUGGGUCCACAGACUAAGUGGCGGUGGGCAAUGGAGACGGCCGGGGGUGAUUUUCUCCCUCCGAUCCCCAUGCUGAGAUAUAGUCGGUCCCCGGAGCAAUCCGGACAGGAGGCAAACGUUCCGUAGGUGAACCUGCGGAAGGAUCAUUAAUGAGAAUAGGGGCCCCGGUCCCGAAACUCCCACCCAAUGCGUACCUUACCAUCGUUGCUUUGGCGGGCCAGCGGGUCAAACCGCCGCCGGCUCUCUGGGCCCGACGAGCGCCCGCCAGAGUUCCCCCCAAACUCUUUCUAAAUUCAGUUGACGUCGGAGAAGCAAUUUAAUAGCAAAAAACUUUCAACAACGGAUCUCUUGGUUCUGGCAUCGAUGAAGAACGCAGCGAAAUGCGAUAAGUAAUGUGAAUUGCAGAAUUCAGUGAAUCAUCGAUCUUUGAACGCACAUUGCGCCCCCUGGUAUUCCGANGGGGNAUGGCCUGUUCGANNCGUCAUUUAAANCCUCAAGCUUCUUUGGCUUGGNGNUGGGNGCGUCCCCCGCGAGGGGAGCGNCGCCCGAAGUUAGCGGNGUGCAGCCGGGGCGAUCGAGCGUAGUAAAAGCCACAAACUUUCGCUUCGAGCUCGCCCGGACGUUCUGGCCGGACAAAAACCCCCCAUCUUUCUCAAAGAUUGACCUNGGAUCAGGUAGGGUUACCCGCUGAACUUAAGCAUAUCAAUAAGCGGAGGAAAAGAAACCAACAGGGAUUGCCUCAGUAACGGCGAGUGAAGCGGCAACAGCUCAAAUUUGAAAUCUGGCUCCCUUCGGGGCCCGAGUUGUAAUUUGCAGAGGAAGCCUCGGGCGCGGCGCCGGUCUAAGUCCCUUGGAACAGGGCGUCAUGGAGGGUGAGAAUCCCGUACGUGACCGGCGGCCAAGCCCAUGUGAGGCCCCUUCGACGAGUCGAGUUGUUUGGGAAUGCAGCUCAAAAUGGGUGGUAAAUUUCAUCUAAAGCUAAAUACGGGCCAGAGACCGAUAGCGCACAAGUAGAGUGAUCGAAAGAUGAAAAGCACUUUGGAAAGAGAGUUAAACAGUACGUGAAAUUGUUGAAAGGGAAGCGCUUGCAAUCAGACUUGGCCGGGGGUGAUCAGCCGUCCUUCGGGGCGGUGCACUCGCCCACGGCCAGGCCAGCAUCGGCCCUGGCGGCCGGACAAAGGCCCCGGGAAAGUGGCUCCUUUCGGGGAGUGUUAUAGCCCGGGGCGGAAUGCGGCCAGCCGGGACCGAGGACCGCGCUUCGGCUAGGAUGCUGGCAUAAUGGUUGUAAGUGACC